AUCCGCUCAGGACGAACGCUGGCGGCGUGCCUAAUACAUGCAAGUCGAGCGGACAGAUGGGAGCUUGCUCCCUGAUGUUAGCGGCGGACGGGUGAGUAACACGUGGGUAACCUGCCUGUAAGACUGGGAUAACUCCGGGAAACCGGGGCUAAUACCGGAUGGUUGUUUGAACCGCAUGGUUCAGACAUAAAAGGUGGCUUCGGCUACCACUUACAGAUGGACCCGCGGCGCAUUAGCUAGUUGGUGAGGUAACGGCUCACCAAGGCAACGAUGCGUAGCCGACCUGAGAGGGUGAUCGGCCACACUGGGACUGAGACACGGCCCAGACUCCUACGGGAGGCAGCAGUAGGGAAUCUUCCGCAAUGGACGAAAGUCUGACGGAGCAACGCCGCGUGAGUGAUGAAGGUUUUCGGAUCGUAAAGCUCUGUUGUUAGGGAAGAACAAGUGCCGUUCAAAUAGGGCGGCACCUUGACGGUACCUAACCAGAAAGCCACGGCUAACUACGUGCCAGCAGCCGCGGUAAUACGUAGGUGGCAAGCGUUGUCCGGAAUUAUUGGGCGUAAAGGGCUCGCAGGCGGUUUCUUAAGUCUGAUGUGAAAGCCCCCGGCUCAACCGGGGAGGGUCAUUGGAAACUGGGGAACUUGAGUGCAGAAGAGG
This 657-nucleotide ribosomal RNA is filed under the name Bacillus amyloliquefaciens. RNAcentral's name for it is "bacterial SSU rRNA". It matches the Rfam family "Bacterial small subunit ribosomal RNA", at positions 18 to 657 of the family's 1533-position model. The record is from RNAcentral. Lineage: Bacteria; Bacillati; Bacillota; Bacilli; Caryophanales; Bacillaceae.